CCUACGGGUGGCUGCAGUGAGGAAUAUUGGUCAAUGGACGAGAGUCUGAACCAGCCAAGUAGCGUGAAGGAUGACUGACCUAUGGGUUGUAAACUUCUUUUAUAUGGGAAUAAAAUGUUCCACGUGUGGGAUUUUGUAUGUACCAUAUGAAUAAGGAUCGGCUAACGCUGUGCCAGCAGCCGCGGUAAUACGGAGGAUCCGAGCGUUAUCCGGAUUUAUUGGGUUUAAAGGGAGCGUAGGUGGAUUGUUAAGUCAGUUGUGAAAGUUUGCGGCUCAACCGUAAAAUUGCAGUUGAAACUGGCAGUCUUGAGUACAGUAGAGGUGGGCGGAAUUCGUGGUGUAGCGGUGAAAUGCUUAGAUAUCACGAAGAACUCCGAUUGCGAAGGCAGUUCACUGGACUGCAACUGACACUGAGGCUCGAAAGUGUGGGUAUCAAACAGGAUUAGAUACCCGAGUAGUC
Molecule: ribosomal RNA, 460 nt
Filed under: uncultured bacterium
Lineage: Bacteria
Description: partial 16S ribosomal RNA
Rfam family: Bacterial small subunit ribosomal RNA
Source: RNAcentral